GACGAACGCUGGCGGCGUGCUUAACACAUGCAAGUCGAACGGAAAGGCCCCUUUGGGGGUACUCGAGUGGCGAACGGGUGAGUAACACGUGAGUAACCUGCCCUUGACUUCGGGAUAACUUCAGGAAACUGGGGCUAAUACCGGAUAGGAAUCCUUGCUGCAUGGUGGGGGUUGGAAAGCUUCGGCGGUUUUGGAUGGACUCGCGGCUUAUCAGCUUGUUGGUGGGGUAGUGGCUUACCAAGGCUUUGACGGGUAGCCGGCCUGAGAGGGCGACCGGCCACAUUGGGACUGAGAGACGGCCCAGACUCCUACGGGAGGCAGCAGUGGGGAAUAUUGCACAAUGGGCGGAAGCCGGAUGCAGCAACGCCGCGUGCGGGAUGACGGCCUUCGGGUUGUAAACCGCUUUCAGCAGGGGCGAAGCUUGUGGUGACGGUACCUGCAGAAGAAGCACCGGCUAACUACGUG
RNAcentral lists this ribosomal RNA (465 nucleotides) under uncultured bacterium. RNAcentral's name for it is "partial 16S ribosomal RNA". It matches the Rfam family "Bacterial small subunit ribosomal RNA", at positions 28 to 507 of the family's 1533-position model. The record is from RNAcentral.